UUUGGAGGGCAAGUCUGGUGCCAGCAGCCGCGGUAAUUCCAGCUCCAAUAGCGUAUAUUAAAGUUGUUGUGGUUAAAAAGCUCGUAGUUGAACCUUGGGCCUGGCUGGCCGGUCCGCCUCACCGCGUGCACUGGUCCGGCCGGGCCUUUCCCUCUGUGGAACCCCAUGCCCUUCACUGGGCGUGGCGGGAAACUGGACUUAAUUA
Molecule: ribosomal RNA, 205 nt
Filed under: Glomeromycota sp.
Lineage: Eukaryota; Fungi; Glomeromycota
Description: partial small subunit ribosomal RNA
Rfam family: Eukaryotic small subunit ribosomal RNA
Source: RNAcentral